AAAAACUUAGCGGCGAACGGGUGAGUAACACGUAAAGAACCUGCCUCAUAGACUGGGAUAACUAUUGGAAACGAUAGCUAAUACCGGAUAAUAGCAUUAACUGCAUGGUUGAUGUUUGAAAGUUGGUUAUGCUAACACUAUGAGAUGGCUUUGCGGUGCAUUAGCUAGUUGGUGGGGUAAAAGCCUACCAAGGCGACGAUGCAUAGCCGACCUGAGAGGGUGAUCGGCCACACUGGGGCUGAGACACGGCCCAGACUCCUACGGGAGGCAGCAGUAGGGAAUCUUCCGCAAUGGGCGAAAGCCUGACGGAGCAACGCCGCGUGAGUGAAGAAGGAUUUCGGUUCGUAAAGCUCUGUUGUUAGGGAAGAAUGAUUGUGUAGUAACUAUACACAGUAGAGACGGUACCUAACCAGAAAGCCACGGCUAACUACGUGCCAGCAGCCGCGGUAAUACGUAGGUGGCAAGCGUUGUCCGGAAUUAUUGGGCGUAAAGCGCGCGCAGGUGGUUUAAUAAGUCUGAUGUGAAAGCCCACGGCUCAACCGUGGAGGGUCAUUGGAAACUGUUAAACUUGAGUGCAGGAGAGACAAAGUGGAAUUCCUAGUGUAGCGGUGAAAUGCGUAGAGAUUAGGAGGAACACCAGUGGCGAAGGCGGCUUUUUGGCCUGUAACUGACACUGAGGCGCGAAAGCGUGGGGAGCAAACAGGAUUAGAUAGCCUGGUAGUCCACGCCGUAAACGAUGAGUGCUAAGUGUUGGUCUCAUAAGAGAUCAGUGCUGCAGCUA
This 781-nucleotide ribosomal RNA is filed under the name uncultured Gemella sp. RNAcentral's name for it is "bacterial SSU rRNA". It matches the Rfam family "Bacterial small subunit ribosomal RNA", at positions 86 to 854 of the family's 1533-position model. Lineage: Bacteria; Bacillati; Bacillota; Bacilli; Caryophanales; Gemellaceae. The record is from RNAcentral.